UUCUGACCGUAAACUAUGCCAUCUAGCGAUCCGAUGGGGUAAUUUGCCUUGUCGGGGAGCUUACCGGAAACGAAAGUCUUUCGGUUCCGGGGGUAGUAUGGUUGCAAAGCUGAAACUUAAAGAAAUUGACGGAAGGGCACCACCAGGAGUGGAGCCUGCGGCUUAAUUUGACUCAACACGGGAAAACUCACCCGGCCCGGACACCGUUAGGAUUGACAGAUUGAAAGCUCUUUCUCGAUUUGGUGGUUGGUGGUGCAUGGCCGUUCUUAGUUGGUGGAUUGAUUUGUCUGGUUUAUUCCGAUAACGAACGAGACUCUAUCCUACUAAAUAGUUUCACGAUUUUCAAGUCAUGUAGACUUCUUAGAGGGAUAAGCGGUGUUUAACCGCACGAGAUUGAGCGAUAACAGGUCUGUGAUGCCCUUAGAUGUCCGGGGCUGCACGCGCGCUACACUGGAGAAUUCAGCUGGUCUUCCAUUGCCGAAAGGUAUUGGUAAACCGUUGAAACUUCUCCGUGACCGGGAUAGGGAAUUGUAAUUAUUUCCCUUGAACGAGGAAUUCCUAGUAAGUGUGAGUCAUCAGCUCACGCUG
RNAcentral lists this ribosomal RNA (588 nucleotides) under unidentified nematode. RNAcentral describes it as "SSU rRNA". It matches the Rfam family "Eukaryotic small subunit ribosomal RNA", at positions 1024 to 1643 of the family's 1831-position model. Lineage: Eukaryota; Metazoa; Nematoda. The record is from RNAcentral.